UUAGCUAGUUGGUAAGGUAACGGCUUACCAAGGCGAUGAUGCAUAGCCGAGUUGAGAGACUGAUCGGCCACAAUGGAACUGAGACACGGUCCAUACUCCUACGGGAGGCAGCAGUAGGGAAUCUUCCACAAUGGGCGCAAGCCUGAUGGAGCAACACCGCGUGAGUGAAGAAGGGUUUCGGCUCGUAAAGCUCUGUUGUUGGAGAAGAACGUGCGUGAGAGUAACUGUUCACGCAGUGACGGUAUCCAACCAGAAAGUCACGGCUAACUACGUGCCAGCAGCCGCGGUAAUACGUAGGUGGCAAGCGUUAUCCGGAUUUAUUGGGCGUAAAGCGAGCGCAGGCGGUUGCUUAGGUCUGAUGUGAAAGCCUUCGGCUUAACCGAAGAAGUGCAUCGGAAACCGGGCGACUUGAGUGCAGAAGAGGACAGUGGAACUCCAUGUGUAGCGGUGGAAUGCGUAGAUAUAUGGAAGAACACCAGUGGCGAAGGCGGCUGUCUGGUCUGCAACUGACGCUGAGGCUCGAAAGCAUGGGUAGCGAACAGGAUUAGAUACCCUGGUAGUCCAUGCCGUAAACGAUGAGUGCUAGGUGUUGGAGGGUUUCCGCCCUUCA
RNAcentral lists this ribosomal RNA (610 nucleotides) under uncultured bacterium. Its description in RNAcentral is "bacterial SSU rRNA". It matches the Rfam family "Bacterial small subunit ribosomal RNA", at positions 241 to 842 of the family's 1533-position model. The record is from RNAcentral.